AGGUGAUGGAAACUACUGUGUGUUUCUAGUUUUAUAAAUAUAUACAUGUAGUUUCUACUCGGCAGCAUGCAAUACCUACAUGUAAAACUGCACUUUAGCAGCAGUUGGCUCAUCCAAGUACAUGCAUGGCUGCAUUGACGAAUACCAGUUCACUUGCUGUUAUGAAGUCAGUCCAACAUGGCGGCGCACAUAGCACGACGUUGUUGUUAUUUUCUCUGUCGUAGUACAGCAGUUAACACGAUUCCACAACAUCUAAAACGGAGGGAUGUCGUAUUAAGAGACAUCAACAACACUUUACAUUUGCGUGUUGCUUACGGGACUCGAGGAGCAGACACCACAGAGGUUAGUUUAAAAACACUGAUUCCCAAGUGCAUAUUCCAGUGGACCGCCUGAAAGUAUCCUACAGCAGAAGCAGUGGGCCUGGUGGUCAGAAUGUAAAUAAAGUCAGCACAAAGGCUGAGGUCCGAUUCCAUGUGCUAACAGCAGAGUGGAUCCCAGAGGAUGUUCGACGGAAAAUCUUUGAAACGAACAAAAACCGCAUCAAUAAGGCUGGGGAGCUGCUGGUGACCUCAGAGCUGAGCAGGAGUCAGAACAGAAACCUCUCUGAUUGCAUACAGAAGAUUUCUGCCAUCAUAGCUGAGGCCAGCGAGAAGCCACAUGAACCAACAGCAGAGGACGUAGCUCUCAGGGCAGCCAGGUUAGCGAGGCGGGACAAGGAGCGACUCAAAGAGAAGAAGAUCCAAUCAGCUACCAAGAAGAGCAGACGAGUGGAUUUUGACUAACUGUUAUAUUUCUACCUCGCUAUUGUAAAUAAUGAUAUGUCUUGUAAUACAAUAAGGUUGCUAAAUUUUUCGUAUUAAAUGAAUGAAGAAUUAAUGUCCCCGAUUUGUGUAGUUCCUGGGCAGAUUAAGACUAGAACACAAACAACACUUUGAAAUAAAUUAUUAGACUUUGUGUCUCUGUUUUACAUUUACAUUUCUUAAUGUUUUUAUAUACCAAACAUCUUGGGAAAAACAUACAAUUCAAAGGCACAG
Notothenia coriiceps (black rockcod) is the source of this 1034-nucleotide RNA transcript. It is a transcript of the gene named mitochondrial ribosomal protein L58, with no coding region annotated. The transcript is spliced from 6 exons. Lineage: Eukaryota; Metazoa; Chordata; Actinopteri; Perciformes; Nototheniidae. The record is from RefSeq and is a predicted model, not a curated record.